This 565-nucleotide unclassified non-coding RNA is filed under the name Hevea brasiliensis (rubber tree). The record is from RNAcentral. Lineage: Eukaryota; Viridiplantae; Streptophyta; Magnoliopsida; Malpighiales; Euphorbiaceae.
AUCUAAUCCACCGCAACCCAGAGAAAGCUACUUAGAGAUUUGUGAGCACAGAGUCUAACCAACUUUCUGAGGUCAUCCAUAAUUUGUUUCACAAAGUGAUCAACCAAGACAUCGUCGUUACCUUCAAAAGAGAUUCCUAGCUUUUUAUAGAAGUCAACAGUAGCCAAGACUUUGCCUAAAAGACUAUAAGGAGAAACCGAUUUAGAAGAAAUGAGGGCGUUCAUACGCCUAAUUAAUAUCACUGUCAGUGGCCACAACCACACUCUGAGGAUUUCGACUCGAGCAAUGAAUCAGAAGACCCUUUCUUAGAAUUGCCUGACGCCUUUCCUUGUGAUUUUCUAAUUUUUUGAGUUUUACGUUUUCCUCCAGCAAAUAAUUUGAGUAAAAGCCCUAUAAGUUCGUGAUGGGCCUGCUGCACUUUCUUCGUUUAUGGACCCUGUUAGACUUAAGCACGCUUAGAGGAACAUUACUCUCGACGGCCAAAGUGGAAUGGGCUGGGUUUUUACUGGGCUACAUAAUGAAAUAGGCCCACCAUAUGUCACAACAGCAAAGGAAACAAAACAAG